AGUGAACGCUGGCGGUAGGCCUAACACAUGCGAGUCGAACGGCAGCACAGUAAGAGCUUGCUCUUACGGGUGGCGAGUGGCGGACGGGUGAGGAAUACAUCGGAAUCUACUUUUUCGUGGGGGAUAACGUAGGGAAACUUACGCUCAUACCGCAUACGACCUACGGGUGAAAGCAGGGGAUCUUCGGACCUUGCGCGAUUGAAUGCGCCGAUGUCGUAUUAGCUAGUUGGCGGGGUAAAGGCCCACCAAGUCGACGAUCCGUAGCUGGUCUGAGAGGAUGAUCAGCCACACUGGAACUGAGACACGGUCCAGGCUCCUACGGGAGGCAGCAGUGGGGAAUGUUGGACAAUGGGCGCAAGCCUGAUCCAGCCAGACCGCGUGGGUGAAGAAGGCCUUCGGGUUGUAAAGCCCUUUUGUUGGGAAAGAAAAGCAGCAGGUUAAUACCCCGCUGUUCUGACGGUACCCAAAGAAUAAGCACCGGCUAACUUCGUG
RNAcentral lists this ribosomal RNA (492 nucleotides) under uncultured bacterium. RNAcentral's name for it is "partial 16S ribosomal RNA". It matches the Rfam family "Bacterial small subunit ribosomal RNA", at positions 29 to 507 of the family's 1533-position model. The record is from RNAcentral.